ACGAACGCUGGCGGCGUGCUUCACACCUGCCAGUCGAACGAAGAGCGAUGGAAGCUUGCUUCUAUCAAUCUUAGUGGCGAACGGGUGAGUAACGCGUAAUCAACCUGCCCUUCAGAGGGGGACAACAGUUGGAAACGACUGCUAAUACCGCAUACGAUCUAAUCUCGGCAUCGAGGAUAGAUGAAAGGUGGCCUCUACAUGUAAGCUAUCACUGAAGGAGGGGAUUGCGUCUGAUUAGCUAGUUGGAGGGGUAACGGCCCACCAAGGCGAUGAUCAGUAGCCGGUCUGAGAGGAUGAACGGCCACAUUGGGACUGAGACACGGCCCAGACUCCUACGGGAGGCAGCAGUGGGGAAUCUUCCGCAAUGGACGAAAGUCUGACGGAGCAACGCCGCGUGAGUGAUGACGGCCUUCGGGUUGUAAAGCUCUGUUAAUCGGGACGAAAGGCCUUCUUGCGAAUAGUGAGAAGGAUUGACGGUACCGGAAUAGAAAGCCACGGCUAACUACGUG
This 509-nucleotide ribosomal RNA is filed under the name uncultured bacterium. RNAcentral describes it as "partial 16S ribosomal RNA". It matches the Rfam family "Bacterial small subunit ribosomal RNA", at positions 29 to 507 of the family's 1533-position model. The record is from RNAcentral.